UUUACAGAGUCGGAUCCAUUGUGGCGCGCAGUUGGAUCUGUUGGAUGAGCGCUGGCGCCGUGCUGCGCCAAGAUUUGGAUCCUGCACAUUUGUGCUGAUGGAUGCAUUUCAGUGGUUCUUCGCUGCAGCAUCUGAGGGUACGCUGUUGCGUGGCUGAUUAAGGUAACAAACCUUGACUGGAAGUCAUAGGACGAACCAGACUGAAGAUGCUGUCGCUGCUGGUCACUGCUCUGCGGAGCUUCACU
Xiphophorus maculatus (southern platyfish) is the source of this 245-nucleotide long non-coding RNA. RefSeq lists it as uncharacterized. The transcript has 3 exons. The record is from RefSeq and is a predicted model, not a curated record. NCBI's taxonomy places the organism in Eukaryota, Metazoa, Chordata, Actinopteri, Cyprinodontiformes, Poeciliidae.